RNAcentral lists this ribosomal RNA (304 nucleotides) under Cryptosporidium hominis. RNAcentral describes it as "partial 18S small subunit ribosomal RNA". It matches the Rfam family "Eukaryotic small subunit ribosomal RNA", at positions 729 to 1037 of the family's 1831-position model. Lineage: Eukaryota; Apicomplexa; Conoidasida; Eucoccidiorida; Cryptosporidiidae. The record is from RNAcentral.
UUUUUUUUUUAGUAUAUGAAAUUUUACUUUGAGAAAAUUAGAGUGCUUAAAGCAGGCAUAUGCCUUGAAUACUCCAGCAUGGAAUAAUAUUAAAGAUUUUUAUCUUUUUUAUUGGUUCUAAGAUAAGAAUAAUGAUUAAUAGGGACAGUUGGGGGCAUUUGUAUUUAACAGUCAGAGGUGAAAUUCUUAGAUUUGUUAAAGACAAACUAAUGCGAAAGCAUUUGCCAAGGAUGUUUUCAUUAAUCAAGAACGAAAGUUAGGGGAUCGAAGACGAUCAGAUACCGUCGUAGUCUUAACCAUAAAC